RNAcentral lists this ribosomal RNA (253 nucleotides) under uncultured bacterium. RNAcentral's name for it is "partial 16S ribosomal RNA". It matches the Rfam family "Bacterial small subunit ribosomal RNA", at positions 524 to 776 of the family's 1533-position model. The record is from RNAcentral.
UACAGAGGGGGCAAGCGUUGUUCGGAAUUACUGGGCGUAAAGGGCGCGUAGGCGGCCUGCUAAGUCGAACGUGAAAUCCCCGAGCUCAACUCGGGAACUGCGUCCGAUACUGGCAGGCUUGAAUCCGGGAGAGGGAUGCGGAAUUCCAGGUGUAGCGGUGAAAUGCGUAGAUAUCUGGAGGAACACCGGUGGCGAAGGCGGCAUCCUGGACCGAUACUGACGCUGAGGAGCGAAAGCCAGGGGAGCAAACGGG